This 87-nucleotide transfer RNA is filed under the name Bdellovibrionales bacterium. RNAcentral's name for it is "tRNA-Ser". It matches the Rfam family "tRNA". Rfam says of the family: Transfer RNA (tRNA) molecules are approximately 80 nucleotides in length. Lineage: Bacteria; Pseudomonadati; Bdellovibrionota; Bdellovibrionia; Bdellovibrionales. The record is from RNAcentral.
GGAGAGGUGGCCGAGUGGUUGAAGGCGCACGCUUGGAAAGCGUGUAUACGUGAAAGCGUAUCGAGGGUUCGAAUCCCUUCCUCUCCG